CUGCUUUUAUAAGGGAAUAAAGUGAGUCUCGUGAGACUUUUUGCAUGUACCUUAUGAAUAAGGACCGGCUAAUUCCGUGCCAGCAGCCGCGGUAAUACGGAAGGUCCGGGCGUUAUCCGGAUUUAUUGGGUUUAAAGGGAGCGUAGGCCGGAGAUUAAGCGUGUUGUGAAAUGUAGACGCUCAACGUCUGCACCGCAGCGCGAACUGGUUUCCUUGAGUACGCACAAAGUGGGCGGAAUUCGUGGUGUAGCGGUGAAAUGCUUAGAUAUCACGAAGAACUCCGAUUGCGAAGGCAGCUCACUGGAGCGCAACUGACGCUGAAGCUCGAAAGUGCGGGUAUCGAACAGGAUUAGAUACCCUGGUAGUCCGCACGGUAAACGAUGGAUGCCCGCUGUUGGUCUGAAUAGGUCAGCGGCCAAGCGAAAGCAUUAAGCAUCCCACCUGGGGAGUACGCCGGCAACGGUGCAACUCAAAUGAAUUGACGG
RNAcentral lists this ribosomal RNA (485 nucleotides) under uncultured Bacteroidota bacterium. Its description in RNAcentral is "bacterial SSU rRNA". It matches the Rfam family "Bacterial small subunit ribosomal RNA", at positions 430 to 916 of the family's 1533-position model. Lineage: Bacteria; Pseudomonadati; Bacteroidota. The record is from RNAcentral.